Long non-coding RNA from Mus musculus (house mouse), 1040 nucleotides. RefSeq annotates it as predicted gene, 39781. The record is from RefSeq and is a predicted model, not a curated record. NCBI's taxonomy places the organism in Eukaryota, Metazoa, Chordata, Mammalia, Rodentia, Muridae. The transcript is spliced from 3 exons.
UUGGUUUCAGAGCUGAUGUUCUAAAAACCAAAUGAUUGUCCAGGUGCCAGCUGUUCCCACAGAUCGCUCCUGGCUGGCAGGAUGCAGACUUUUGCCCCCGAUCUCAUACAAGGAGCCACAGAAGAGCCAGAAACAGACUCUGAAGCUGUUCUGUGUCUAAAGCCAAAGUAGGUUCCUGUCCAAGGUCCCAGCCUGACUCCAAGUGCAUGACAUUGACAUAGUCCUGCCCCUGACCCCCAGAUCCUUGCUGAGCUAAGGCUGACGUAGCCUCAGCUAAGACCAUGUGUGCCACUACUGCCUGUAUGAUAGGUGACAGGCCGUGCUGCCCUGCCAGCCAGAGCUGGAGGCUGGGUUACAGGACAACAGGUAGAUCAGUGGCCGAGUUGCUUCUCACCUGGAUCCAUUGCUGUGUGAAUGGCUGCAGUAUGGAGAUAACCCAGUUCUGCUGCCCCUCUACCUACUGGCUGGAAUAUUCCAGAAAGGAUCAUCCGUCCGGACACCGGGCAAUACCAUGUUUCUGGAUGAUCUUUUCCUGGUCAUUUUGCUGCUCUUCCAGCAGGGGAGGAAGCUGAGGUUCCCAGGCUACGUGUGAUCUGAUUUUGAUCUCUACACACUGCCUGCAGCUUCACUCCUGAGUAUUGGAACGACAGAUGUGUACCAAUAUCCAGCUCUGUCCUGGAUUGUGGACCCAGACUCCUAAGGACUGCCUGCAGUGACUCCUGUGGAACAGGCAGGCCCUGUCCCUGCCCUACUGCAUUGUGGGUCUAGUGUCAUCGUAACUCAGAACACUCAUGGCCAGGAUGAAGAACAGGUUGAUCUUGCCACAUGCCCCCAGGGAGCUGACGGUUCCAAGGGAGAGGAGUCCUGCUCAAGGAGUCUGGAGUUAGGACGGUGUCUCACAGAACAGGGCAGUGCCAUGUCAGGUAGUGUGGCCAGCCAUGGAUUGGUGGGGCUGUUUGUUCCACAGUGAAAGCUGAAACCCGACUAAGCCACGUGGAGACCGGUGCUCACCAUACAAGCUGAUCUGAAUAAAUGAGUUC